RNAcentral lists this ribosomal RNA (253 nucleotides) under uncultured bacterium. RNAcentral's name for it is "partial 16S ribosomal RNA". It matches the Rfam family "Bacterial small subunit ribosomal RNA", at positions 524 to 776 of the family's 1533-position model. The record is from RNAcentral.
UACGGAGGGUGCAAGCGUUAAUCGGAAUUACUGGGCGUAAAGCGCACGCAGGCGGUUUGUUAAGUCAGAUGUGAAAUCCCCGCGCUUAACGUGGGAACUGCAUUUGAAACUGGCAAGCUAGAGUCUUGUAGAGGGGGGUAGAAUUCCAGGUGUAGCGGUGAAAUGCGUAGAGAUCUGGAGGAAUACCGGUGGCGAAGGCGGCCCCCUGGACCUGUACUGACGCUCCUGCACGAAAGCGUGGGGAGCAAACAGG